RNAcentral lists this ribosomal RNA (872 nucleotides) under uncultured bacterium. RNAcentral describes it as "bacterial SSU rRNA". It matches the Rfam family "Bacterial small subunit ribosomal RNA", at positions 32 to 877 of the family's 1533-position model. The record is from RNAcentral.
AACGCUGGCGGCGUGCCUAACACAUGCAAGUCGAACGAGAAGUACGUAGCAAUACGUAUUGUAAAGUGGCGCACGGGUGAGUAACACGUGGGUAAUCUGCCCUUGAGUUUGGGAUAACCCCGCGAAAGCGGGGCUAAUACCGGAUAAGACCACGGGGACCAAAGUCCCUGAGGUAAAAGGUGGCCUCUAUUUAUAAGCUACCACUUGAGGAUGAGCCCGCGGCCCAUUAGCUAGUUGGCAGGGUAACGGCCUACCAAGGCAAUGAUGGGUAGCUGGUCUGAGAGGACGAUCAGCCACACUGGAACUGAGACACGGUCCAGACUCCUACGGGAGGCAGCAGUGGGGAAUAUUGCGCAAUGGGCGAAAGCCUGACGCAGCAACGCCGCGUGGGGGAUGAAGGUUCUCGGAUUGUAAACCCCUUUCGAUCGGAACGAAUCCCCUCCUGGUAAAUAAUCAGGAGGAUCGACGGUACCGAGAGAAGAAGCCACGGCUAACUCUGUGCCAGCAGCCGCGGUAAGACAGAGGUGGCGAGCGUUGUUCGGAUUUAUUGGGCGUAAAGCGAACGCAGGUGGUUUGGUAAGUCAGGGGUGAAAGCCCACAGCUUAACUGUGGCAUUGCCUUUGAUACUGCCUUUCUUGAGUAGAGUAGGGGGAAGCGGAAUUCCGAGUGUAGAGGUGAAAUUCGUAGAUAUUCGGAGGAACACCGGUGGCGAAGGCGGCUUCCUGGACUCUAACUGACACUCAUGUUCGAAAGCGUGGGGAGCAAACAGGAUUAGAUACCCUGGUAGUCCACGCCCUAAACGAUGGGCACUAGGUGUGGGAGGUAUCGACCCCUUCCGUGCCGCAGCUAACGCAUUAAGUGCCCCGCCUGGG